AUUGAACGCUGGCGGCAGGCCUAACACAUGCAAGUCGAGCGAGCGGCGGACGGGUGAGGAAUGUAUGGGGACUGCCCGAUAGAGGGGGAUAACGACUGGAAACGGUAGCUCAUACCGCAUACUAUCGGAUAACCCAUAUGGGAUUAGCUAGUAGGUGAGGUAAAGGCUCACCAGGGCACCGAUCCGUAGCUGGUUUGAGAGGCCGACCAGCCGCACUGGGACUGAGACACGGCCCAGACUCCUACGGAGGCAGCAGGGGGGAAUAUUGCACAAUGGGCGCAAGCCGGAUGCAGCCAUGCCGCGUGUAUGAAGAAGGCCCUAGGGUUGUAAAGUACUUUCAGUCGGGAGGCGUUACCGACAGAAGAAGCACCGGCUAACUCCGUGCCAGCAGCCGCGGUAAUAC
RNAcentral lists this ribosomal RNA (403 nucleotides) under uncultured bacterium. Its description in RNAcentral is "partial 16S ribosomal RNA". It matches the Rfam family "Bacterial small subunit ribosomal RNA", at positions 29 to 526 of the family's 1533-position model. The record is from RNAcentral.